AUCCUUUUCCGGUUCCUAAGCAUGACGACUGGAUGUUCACAUGUUUGGGUGACACGUGCCUCCCUGAGAUCCUGUUAUGCACUUGGCAAAUUACACAUAUGACA
Molecule: small nucleolar RNA, 104 nt
Organism: Sorex fumeus (smoky shrew)
Lineage: Eukaryota; Metazoa; Chordata; Mammalia; Eulipotyphla; Soricidae
Product: small nucleolar RNA U13
Exons: 1
Source: RefSeq, a predicted model, not a curated record